This 143-nucleotide small nuclear RNA is filed under the name Felis catus (domestic cat). Its description in RNAcentral is "U4 spliceosomal RNA (ENSFCAG00000053316.1)". It matches the Rfam family "U4 spliceosomal RNA". Rfam says of the family: U4 small nuclear RNA (U4 snRNA) is a component of the major U2-dependent spliceosome. Lineage: Eukaryota; Metazoa; Chordata; Mammalia; Carnivora; Felidae. The record is from RNAcentral.
UAGCUUGCGCAGUUGGCAGUAUCUAGCCAUUGAGGUUGUCCGAGGCGUGAUUAUUUUGCUAGUUGAAAACUUUAAACCAAUUUACCCCGCCGUUGGACUUGAAUCUAGUCCGCGCUGGCACAUUUUUGCCCAGUCUCACAGAG